GAUGAACGCUAGCUACAGGCUUAACACAUGCAAGUCGAGGGGAAACGACAUCGAAGGCUUGCUUUUGAUGGGCGUCGACCCGCGCACGGGUGAGUAACGCGUAUACAACCUGCCCAUCACUUGAGGAUAACCUUGCGAAAGUAAGACUAAUACACAAUGAUAUCUCUAGAAGACAUCUGAAAGAGAGAAAAGAUUUAUCGGUGAUGGAUGGGGAUGCGUCUGAUUAGCUUGUUGGCGGGGUAACGGCCCACCAAGGCAACGAUCAGUAGGGGUUCGGAGAGGAAGCUCCCCCAGAAUUGAGCCAAGGCCCGGACCACUAUCCUACGGAAGACAGGAGAGUGGAAUAUAGGGGGCGGAGCGAGGACCUGAACCAGCCAAGUGGCGUACGAGAAGACGGGCGUAGGGGUUGUAAUCUGUUUUUAUAAGGGAACAAAGGGAGAGUCGUGACUCUUUUUGAAGGUACCUAAUGAAUAAGCACCGGCUAAUUCCGUG
This 492-nucleotide ribosomal RNA is filed under the name uncultured bacterium. RNAcentral's name for it is "partial 16S ribosomal RNA". It matches the Rfam family "Bacterial small subunit ribosomal RNA", at positions 28 to 507 of the family's 1533-position model. The record is from RNAcentral.